GACGAACGCUGGCGGCGUGCUUAACACAUGCAAGUCGAACGGAAAGGCCCUGCUUUUGUGGGGUGCUCGAGUGGCGAACGGGUGAGUAACACGUGAGUAACCUGCCCUUGACUUUGGGAUAACUUCAGGAAACUGGGGCUAAUACCGGAUAGGAGCUCCUGCUGCAUGGUGGGGGUUGGAAAGUUUCGGCGGUUGGGGAUGGACUCGCGGCUUAUCAGCUUGUUGGUGGGGUAGUGGCUUACCAAGGCUUUGACGGGUAGCCGGCCUGAGAGGGUGACCGGCCACAUUGGGACUGAGAUACGGCCCAGACUCCUACGGGAGGCAGCAGGGGGGAAUAUUGCACAACGGGCGGAAGCCUGAUGCAGCAACGCCGCGUGCGGGAUGACGGCCUUCGGGUUGUAAACCGCUUUCGCCUGUGACGAAGCGUGAGUGACGGUAAUGGGUAAAGAAGCACCGGCUAACUACGUG
RNAcentral lists this ribosomal RNA (468 nucleotides) under uncultured bacterium. RNAcentral's name for it is "partial 16S ribosomal RNA". It matches the Rfam family "Bacterial small subunit ribosomal RNA", at positions 28 to 507 of the family's 1533-position model. The record is from RNAcentral.